Long non-coding RNA from Olea europaea var. sylvestris, 636 nucleotides. RefSeq lists it as uncharacterized. NCBI's taxonomy places the organism in Eukaryota, Viridiplantae, Streptophyta, Magnoliopsida, Lamiales, Oleaceae. The record is from RefSeq and is a predicted model, not a curated record. The transcript has 2 exons.
GAUCUGUCAAACUGCGCUGCCCCUCUUAGAUAUUUAACUAUAACAUUAACCGGGUUGGUCUGCAGGUGCAACACUAGCCUGUGGAACUGGAGCUUGUGCUGCAGUUGUUGCUGCCGUGCUCGAGGGUCGAGCUGGGAGGAGUUGUACUGUCGAUUUGCCUGGAGGACCAUUGGACAUUGAAUGGAGAGAAGAAGACAACCACAUUUACAUGACAGGUCCAGCAGAAGUAGUAUUUUAUGGAUCAAUUCCUCUCUAAAUCCUUUUAUUUUAGACUUGUUUGGGCCAUCUUGACUUCUAGAAAACUCGGAAGAAGCUCCCAUUAGUUCUUCUAGUGUUGUAUGUCUAAGUUUUGCGACGGCAAGGGAUGGGUGGGGAAUUCUAUUUAUCCAGUAUGGUUGUGCCGCAUUUUUCUUUCACUCCUGAUGGGAAACACUGUUGCAAUUGCGCACUCUUUAGCUCUAGGAUUCGUGUUGAAGGGUGUCAUUUGACAUAGCUCAUUUCCAUUUUCCAUGAUGAUGAUGUCUAAUAUUUUUAUUGGGGUCCAAGGAGAUUAGUCUUUCUUUUUCAAUACCAACUUCUUGUAAUAAAUUUUUGAAUCCAUCUUAUGAUUCAUAUUUCAGAUUCAAUCUGAUAAUA